AACAUUUGAUUUUCUAUAAUCUAUACACAUUCUCCACCCUGUUUGCUUUCGUGUGGGCACCAACUCAUUAUCAUCAUUCUUGUCAACGGUGAUUCCAGAUUUCUUUGGGACUACCUGCACUGGACUCACCCAUUGACUAUCGGAGAUGGGAUAGAUGAUACCGGCAUCAAGCAGUUUGAGCACUUCUUUUUUCACCACCUCCAUCAUAGGUGGAUUCAAUCUCCUUUGCGCAUCUCUUGUAGGCUUAGCUCCAUCCUCUAAUAAUAUCCGAUG
RNAcentral lists this long non-coding RNA (273 nucleotides) under Panax ginseng (ginseng). RNAcentral describes it as "long non-coding RNA (PGIN_LNC000662)". Lineage: Eukaryota; Viridiplantae; Streptophyta; Magnoliopsida; Apiales; Araliaceae. The record is from RNAcentral.